RNAcentral lists this unclassified non-coding RNA (300 nucleotides) under Hevea brasiliensis (rubber tree). The record is from RNAcentral. Lineage: Eukaryota; Viridiplantae; Streptophyta; Magnoliopsida; Malpighiales; Euphorbiaceae.
AUAUAAUGAAUCUCAUCAUAAUUAAUUAACAGUUAAAUCAAUCUGCAAUACAUUUAACGGUUGUAAAUAAUAAUUUCUUAGAGAGAAGGGCAGUGUGUUGAAUUUGAGCUCAUGACUUCAUGCUAACUACACCUAUAUUUGAUCAAUUAAUUUACUACCAUGACGUCCUAAAAGGCCAUGACCUAGUAUAUAUGAGAAAUUUAUUGAAAUGAAAGCACUACCAAGACUUGAAUUAUUGAAGUAGAAACUAUGAAGCUUCUGACUUAACGUAAUAUGUAUUACCAAGACUUGAAAUUAAGG